UACGUAGGGGGCGAGCGUUGUCCGGAUUUAUUGGGCGUAAAGAGCUCGUAGGCGGUUUGGUAAGUCGGGUGUGAAAUCUCCACGCUCAACGUGGAGGGGCCACUCGAUACUGCCAUGACUCGAGUCCGGUAGAGGAGUGUGGAAUUCCCGGUGUAGCGGUGAAAUGCGCAGAUAUCGGGAGGAACAUCAGUGGCGAAAGCGACUUCCUGGACCAGUACCGACGUUCAGGCACGAAAGCGUGGGGAGCAAACAGG
RNAcentral lists this ribosomal RNA (254 nucleotides) under uncultured bacterium. Its description in RNAcentral is "partial 16S ribosomal RNA". It matches the Rfam family "Bacterial small subunit ribosomal RNA", at positions 524 to 776 of the family's 1533-position model. The record is from RNAcentral.